RNAcentral lists this ribosomal RNA (875 nucleotides) under uncultured Arthrobacter sp. RNAcentral describes it as "bacterial SSU rRNA". It matches the Rfam family "Bacterial small subunit ribosomal RNA". The record is from RNAcentral. Lineage: Bacteria; Bacillati; Actinomycetota; Actinomycetes; Micrococcales; Micrococcaceae.
UUUUUUUUAUUUUUUUGUAUCUUCUCAGGAUGAACGCUGGCGGCGUGCUUAACACAUGCAAGUCGAACGAUGAUCUCCAGCUUGCUGGGGGGAUUAGUGGCGAACGGGUGAGUAACACGUGAGUAACCUGCCCUUGACUCUGGGAUAAGCCUGGGAAACUGGGUCUAAUACCGGAUAUGACUGACCGUCGCAUGGUGGUUGGUGGAAAGCUUUUGUGGUUUUGGAUGGACUCGCGGCCUAUCAGCUUGUUGGUGAGGUAAUGGCUUACCAAGGCGACGACGGGUAGCCGGCCUGAGAGGGUGACCGGCCACACUGGGACUGAGACACGGCCCAGACUCCUACGGGAGGCAGCAGUGGGGAAUAUUGCACAAUGGGCGCAAGCCUGAUGCAGCGACGCCGCGUGAGGGAUGACGGCCUUCGGGUUGUAAACCUCUUUCAGUAGGGAAGAAGCGAAAGUGACGGUACCUGCAGAAGAAGCGCCGGCUAACUACGUGCCAGCAGCCGCGGUAAUACGUAGGGCGCAAGCGUUAUCCGGAAUUAUUGGGCGUAAAGAGCUCGUAGGCGGUUUGUCGCGUCUGCCGUGAAAGUCCGGGGCUCAACUCCGGAUCUGCGGUGGGUACGGGCAGACUAGAGUGAUGUAGGGGAGACUGGAAUUCCUGGUGUAGCGGUGAAAUGCGCAGAUAUCAGGAGGAACACCGAUGGCGAAGGCAGGUCUCUGGGCAUUAACUGACGCUGAGGAGCGAAAGCAUGGGGCGAACAGGAUUAGAUACCCUGGUAGUCCAUGCCGUAAACGUUGGGCACUAGGUGUGGGGGACAUUCCACGUUUUCCGCGCCGUAGCUAACGCAUUAAGUGCCCCGCAUGAGACGCGACUUUU